This 274-nucleotide ribosomal RNA is filed under the name uncultured bacterium. RNAcentral describes it as "partial 16S ribosomal RNA". It matches the Rfam family "Bacterial small subunit ribosomal RNA", at positions 523 to 796 of the family's 1533-position model. The record is from RNAcentral.
AUACGGAGGGUCCAAGCGUUAUCCGGAUUCAUUGGGUUUAAAGGGUCCGCAGGCGGGAAAAUAAGUCAGUGGUGAAAGCCUACAGCUCAACUGUAGAACUGCCAUUGAAACUGUUUUUCUUGAGUAUAGAUGAAGUGGGCGGAAUAUAUCAUGUAGCGGUGAAAUGCAUAGAUAUGAUAUAGAACACCGAUUGCGAAGGCAGCUCACUAAACUAUUACUGACGCUCAGGGACGAAAGUGUGGGGAGCGAACAGGAUUAGAAACCCUAGUAGUCC